Molecule: long non-coding RNA, 709 nt
Filed under: Homo sapiens (human)
Lineage: Eukaryota; Metazoa; Chordata; Mammalia; Primates; Hominidae
Description: HSALNT0309510
Source: RNAcentral
UCUCUCUCUCUCUCAUUUUUCUCUCUCUCUCUCUCUCCCCCCUGGCUCUUAGAACCCAGCCAAGGGUGUUGUGAAGAAGCCAGAGAGUCAUCCAGGAAAACCAUACAUCAAUGUCAUUGGUGCUCCAGGCACAGCCCAGCUCAACUGAGGUCCCCAAUGACGCCAUCAUUAACCACCAGACUUGGGAGUGAAUGAAGCUUCAGAUGGUUCCAGCCCCCAACUUUCAAGCACACCCAGUGAUGCUGAGUGCAGCUGAUACAAGCUGUCCCCAACAAGCCCUGCCCAAGUUACAGAUUUGUGAGCAAAUGGAGGCUUCCUCACUUCCAUGCACCCUGGUGACAGACCCAUCUCCUGAGUGUCAGGCCUCUGAGCCCAAGCUAAGCCAUCGUAUCCCCAGUGACCUGCAUGUAUACAUCCAGAUGACCUGAAGCAACUGAAGAUCCACAGAAGUGAAAAUAGCCUUAACUGAUGACAUUCCACCAUUGUGAUUUGUUACUGCCCCACCCUAACUGAUCACUGUACUCUGUAAUCUCCCCGACCCUUAAGAAGGUUCUUUGUAAUUCUCCCCACCCUUGAGAAUGUACUUUGUGAGAUCCACCCUCUGCCUGCAAACCAUUGCUCCAAACUCCACCACCUAUCCCAAAACCUCUAAGAACUAAUGAUAAUCCACCACCCUUUGCUGACUCCUUUUUCGGACUCAGCCCGCCUG